UAUUUAGUGGCAGACAAAUGUGACAGGUUUAGGUCCUGUAGAUGAGGCAGCUUCCUCCUAAAUAA
This 65-nucleotide transfer RNA is filed under the name Cryolaternula elliptica. RNAcentral describes it as "tRNA-Leu". The record is from RNAcentral. Lineage: Eukaryota; Metazoa; Mollusca; Bivalvia; Laternulidae.